UACCCCCUCGAGGGGGUAAGGCCCCCAACAGACCAUUGGGUUGAUAGGCCAGAACUGGAAGUCUGGUAACAGAUGUAGGUGACUGGUACUAAUAGGCCGAGGACUUACCAAC
RNAcentral lists this non-coding RNA (112 nucleotides) under Nocardia seriolae. RNAcentral's name for it is "Bacterial large subunit ribosomal RNA". It matches the Rfam family "Bacterial large subunit ribosomal RNA", at positions 2813 to 2925 of the family's 2925-position model. The record is from Rfam by way of RNAcentral. Lineage: Bacteria; Bacillati; Actinomycetota; Actinomycetes; Mycobacteriales; Nocardiaceae.